GUUGUCGGUGUUUGAGGUGUUGGAGUUGUUGGCGGUGUUGGAGUUGUUGGAACUGUUUUAGGUGUUGGCUGUGUUGGUAGUGUUGGAGGUGUUGGAGUUGUUGGCGGUGUUGGAGGUGUUGGAGCUGUUUUAGGUGUUUGCAGUGUUGGAGAGGUUGGUGGUGUUGGCAGUGUUGGAGGUGUUGGAACUGUUUUAGGUGUUUGUGGUGUUGAUGGUGUUGGCGGUGUUGGAGGUGUUGGAACUGUUUUAAGUGUUGGCAGUGUUAGAGGUGUUGGCGGUGUUGGAACUGUUUUAGGUGUUGGGGGUGUUGGCAGUGUUGGCGGUGUUGGUGGUGUUGGCAGUGUUGGUUGUGUUGGCAGUGUUGGUUGUGUUGGAGGUGUUGGCUGUGUUGGCGGUGUUUUAGGUGUUGGUAGUGUUGGUGGUGUUGGCAGUGUUGGUUGUGUUGGAACUGUUUUAGGUGUUGGCGGUGUUGGCGGUGUUGGAACUGUUUUAGGUGUUGGCAGUGUUGGAGGUGUUGGCGGUGUUGGAACUGUUUUAGGUGUUGGCAGUGUUGGAGGUGUUGGCGGUGUUGGCAAUGUUGAAGCUGUUUUAGGUGUUGGCAGUGUUGGUGGUGUUGGCAGUGUUGGUUGUG
Molecule: long non-coding RNA, 631 nt
Organism: Oncorhynchus tshawytscha (Chinook salmon)
Lineage: Eukaryota; Metazoa; Chordata; Actinopteri; Salmoniformes; Salmonidae
Source: Ensembl